UUGUCCUGAGGAGCCAUGAUUUCUCCAGGAGCUGGGUAAAGGGCGCCGGGAUCAGUCUGUCAAAGGAUUCCAGCCGGCUGUUCCAAUCCAGGAGGAAAACUGCCACCGAAGUCUCCAAGCACCUGGGCAGUGAAGUGCCACUUAACCCCACUGUGAUGCACAGACCUUGCCCUGGCUGUCUGCACAGGGCUGAAUUUCACCCCUUCUGAGUGUAUUCUAAGCCCCCC
Long non-coding RNA from Mauremys mutica (yellowpond turtle), 227 nucleotides. RefSeq lists it as uncharacterized. Lineage: Eukaryota; Metazoa; Chordata; Testudines; Geoemydidae. The transcript is spliced from 3 exons. The record is from RefSeq and is a predicted model, not a curated record.